RNAcentral lists this ribosomal RNA (301 nucleotides) under uncultured bacterium. Its description in RNAcentral is "partial 16S ribosomal RNA". It matches the Rfam family "Bacterial small subunit ribosomal RNA", at positions 509 to 809 of the family's 1533-position model. The record is from RNAcentral.
CAGUAGCCGCGGUAAUACGUAGGGUCCGAGCGUUGUCCGGAAUUAUUGGGCGUAAAGGGCUCGUAGGCGGUUUGUUGCGUCGGGAGUGAAAACCGGGUGCUUAACACCUGGCUUGCUUUCGAUACGGGCAGACUUGAGGCAUGCAGGGGAGAACGGAAUUCCUGGUGUAGCGGUGAAAUGCGCAGAUAUCAGGAGGAACACCGGUGGCGAAGGCGGUUCUCUGGGCAUGUUCUGACGCUGAGGAGCGAAAGUGUGGGGAGCGAACAGGAUUAGAUACCCCAGUAGUCCCUGUCUCUUAUAA